RNAcentral lists this ribosomal RNA (171 nucleotides) under Otolithes ruber. RNAcentral's name for it is "partial 12S rRNA". Lineage: Eukaryota; Metazoa; Chordata; Actinopteri; Sciaenidae. The record is from RNAcentral.
CACCGCGGUUAUACGAGAGGCCCAAGUUGAUAGUCAACGGCGUAAAGCGUGGUUAGAUGUAUGAGACUAAAAUAAAGCCGAACGCCUAUCAGGGCUGUUAUAAGCUUAUGAAGGUGAGAAGCUCAUCCACGAAAGUGGCUUUAUAAUUUUGAAUCCACGAAAGCUGAGGCA